RNAcentral lists this ribosomal RNA (35 nucleotides) under Porodiplodia livistonae. RNAcentral describes it as "partial 28S ribosomal RNA". Lineage: Eukaryota; Fungi; Ascomycota; Leotiomycetes; Helotiales; Porodiplodiaceae. The record is from RNAcentral.
UUUGACCUGGGAUGAGGUAGGGAUACCCGCUGAAC